UGGGGACCCAGCACAGGUGCCCGCCCAGAGCAGGAGCACAGAUGUACCAGCGGGCGCACAUGUGUGCAUGCAUGCAUGCAAGUAUGGGUGUGCACAUGUGUGCAUGUGCCUGGAGGAGGGGUUCCAGUGGGAGAAGGCCAGCAGACCCCUCCCCACGAAGGGCCUUCAAUACCAGGUUACCAUGCACGACCUUCCCCCCAGGGCGCUGGGUGCCCUGAAUGAGAGGUAAGCUCAUGCGACCUGGGGCCCUCCCUCCAGCUGCCAGUGCUGACCUGGCCGGAGGCAGCCAAGCGUGGAGCUGGGAGCCACUCGGAAGCCACUGCAGUCUCUGGGGAGAGAGGCGGCCUAGCCAGGCGGGAGCAGCGGGCACAGGGAGGAGGGUGAGGCGGCCUCCAGGGUGACGGGCGGGGGCCUGUUUUCCACAUGACCUGUCACCCCUGAAGCGCUGGGUCCCAGCUCCUUUGCUGGGAAGUGUGGCCGGGCCGCAUCAACGAAACCGCACAGCGCCCCCAUCAGACACCAUGGGCUCCGAUGCCCCACAGCGGGGGCUCCCAGGGCAGGGGGAUUUGAGUCCCUCCUGCCCCCAGAGGUGGCCUGCAGGCUCUGGAGGGAGUGCCGCUCCCCAGACUCCCAGAGCUGCCCGGGGCUGUGAACUUGAUGGAAAAACAAGGACAGCUUUGUGUUCGAUGACUCACCGACCUCUGAGGGCCAGUUCGCUUCCCUCCGGCAAAGAAUGCAGUCAACAAACCCGGCCGAAGGCGCCGUCCCCAAGGCUUGUUCCAGAAGACCUGCUCAGGUCACACCCAGGGCUGCUGACGCCCCGAAAUAUCCUCUCCACUCAUCGCUGCUCCGAAAGCCCGGGCAGCAUAGACCCACCCGCGUGAGAUCUGCUUAUUAGUGAGUUAACACAGACGGGCACGGGUUACACUCGCACGUUUUAAAGGCGCCUGAGAGUUGCAUUCAGUACAGUUGGCUUCCUUCAUAAUCUUAAAGACAUUACGCUGAGAAAGCGUCCCGGCUUCCCUGGAUGCCGGAAGGGGGCCUAG
This 1046-nucleotide long non-coding RNA is filed under the name Equus asinus (donkey). RNAcentral describes it as "lncRNA (ENSEASG00005037090.1)". Lineage: Eukaryota; Metazoa; Chordata; Mammalia; Perissodactyla; Equidae. The record is from RNAcentral.